RNAcentral lists this ribosomal RNA (440 nucleotides) under uncultured bacterium. RNAcentral's name for it is "partial 16S ribosomal RNA". It matches the Rfam family "Bacterial small subunit ribosomal RNA", at positions 338 to 795 of the family's 1533-position model. The record is from RNAcentral.
CCUACGGGAGGCAGCAGUGGGGAAUAUUGCACAAUGGGGGAAACCCUGAUGCCGCGACGCCGCGUGAGCGAUGAAGUAUUUCGGUAUGUAAAGCUCUAUCAGCAGGGAAGAAAAUGACGGUACCUGACUAAGAAGCCCCGGCUAACUACGUGCCAGCAGCCGCGGUAAUACGUAGGGGGCAAGCGUUAUCCGGCUUUACUGGGUGUAAAGGGAGCGUAGACGGCUUGGCAAGCCAGAUGUGAAAGGCUGGGGCUCAACCGCAGGACUGCAUUUGGAACUGUCAUGCUAGAGUGUCGGAGAGGCAGGUGGAAUUCCUAGUGUAGCGGUGAAAUGCGUAGAUAUUAGGAGGAACACCAGUGGCGAAGGCGGCUCUCUGGUCUGCAACUGACGCUGAGGCUCGAAAGCAUGGGUAGCGAACAGGAUUAGAUACCCGUGUAGUC